RNAcentral lists this ribosomal RNA (253 nucleotides) under uncultured bacterium. RNAcentral's name for it is "partial 16S ribosomal RNA". It matches the Rfam family "Bacterial small subunit ribosomal RNA", at positions 524 to 776 of the family's 1533-position model. The record is from RNAcentral.
CACGAAGGGGGCGAGCGUUGUUCGGAAUUACUGGGCGUAAAGGGCGCGUAGGCGGCCCCUUUUGUCGCGUGUGAAAGCCCCGGGCUCAACCUGGGAGGUGCGCGCGAAACGGGGGGGCUUGAGUUCGGGAGAGGAGCGUGGAAUUCCCAGUGUAGAGGUGAAAUUCGUAGAUAUUGGGAAGAACACCGGUGGCGAAGGCGGCGCUCUGGACCGAGACUGACGCUGAGGCGCGAAAGCGUGGGGAGCAAACAGG